UUUAUGGAGAGUUUGAUCCUGGCUCAGAGUGAACGCUGGCGGCGUGCCUAAUACAUGCAAGUCGAACGAUGAAGCUUCUAGCUUGCUAGAAGCGGAUUAGUGGCGUACGGGUGAGUAACGCAUAGGUCAUGUGCCUCUUAGUUUGGGAUAGCCAUUGGAAACGAUGAUUAAUACCAGAUACUCCCUACGGGGGAAAGAUUUAUCGCUAAGAGAUCAGCCUAUGUCCUAUCAGCUUGUUGGUAAGGUAAUGGCUUACCAAGGCUAUGACGGGUAUCCGGCCUGAGAGGGUGAACGGACACACUGGAACUGAGACACGGUCCAGACUCCUACGGGAGGCAGCAGUAGGGAAUAUUGCUCAAUGGGGGAAACCCUGAAGCAGCAACGCCGCGUGGAGGAUGAAGGUUUUAGGAUUGUAAACUCCUUUUGUUAGAGAAGAUAAUGACGGUAUCUAACGAAUAAGCACCGGCUAACUCCGUGCCAGCAGCCGCGGUAAUACGGAGGGUGCAAGCGUUACUCGGAAUCACUGGGCGUAAAGAGCGCGUAGGCGGGAUAGUCAGUCAGGUGUGAAAUCCUAUGGCUUAACCAUAGAACUGCAUUUGAAACUACUAUUCUAGAGUGUGGGAGAGGUAGGUGGAAUUCUUGGUGUAGGGGUAAAAUCCGUAGAGAUCAAGAGGAAUACUCAUUGCGAAGGCGACCUGCUGGAACAUUACUGACGCUGAUUGCGCGAAAGCGUGGGGAGCAAACAGGAUUAGAUACCCUGGUAGUCCACGCCCUAAACGAUGGAUGCUAGUUGUUGGAGGGCUUAGUCUCUCCAGUAAUGCAGCUAACGCAUUAAGCAUCCCGCCUGGGGAGUACGGUCGCAAGAUUAAAACUCAAAGGAAUAGACGGGGACCCGCACAAGCGGUGGAGCAUGUGGUUUAAUUCGAAGAUACACGAAGAACCUUACCUAGGCUUGACAUUGAGAGAAUCCGCUAGAAAUAGUGGAGUGUCUAGCUUGCUAGACCUUGAAAACAGGUGCUGCACGGCUGUCGUCAGCUCGUGUCGUGAGAUGUUGGGUUAAGUCCCGCAACGAGCGCAACCCCCUUUCUUAGUUGCUAACAGGUCAUGCUGAGAACUCUAAGGAUACUGCCUCCGUAAGGAGGAGGAAGGUGGGGACGACGUCAAGUCAUCAUGGCCCUUACGCCUAGGGCUACACACGUGCUACAAUGGGGUGCACAAAGAGAAGCAAUACUGCGAAGUGGAGCCAAUCUUCAAAACGCCUCUCAGUUCGGAUUGUAGGCUGCAACUCGCCUGCAUGAAGCUGGAAUCGCUAGUAAUCGCAAAUCAGCCAUGUUGCGGUGAAUACGUUCCCGGGUCUUGUACUCACCGCCCGUCACACCAUGGGAGUUGUGUUUGCCUUAAGUCAGGAUGCUAAAUUGGCUACUGCCCACGGCACACACAGCGACUGGGGUGAAGUCGUAACAAGGUAACCGUAGGUGAACCUGCGGUUGGAUCACCUCCUUUCUAGA
RNAcentral lists this ribosomal RNA (1508 nucleotides) under Helicobacter pylori. RNAcentral describes it as "bacterial SSU rRNA". It matches the Rfam family "Bacterial small subunit ribosomal RNA". The record is from RNAcentral. Lineage: Bacteria; Pseudomonadati; Campylobacterota; Epsilonproteobacteria; Campylobacterales; Helicobacteraceae.